RNAcentral lists this ribosomal RNA (492 nucleotides) under uncultured bacterium. Its description in RNAcentral is "partial 16S ribosomal RNA". It matches the Rfam family "Bacterial small subunit ribosomal RNA", at positions 29 to 507 of the family's 1533-position model. The record is from RNAcentral.
AGUGAACGCUGGCGGUAGGCCUAACACAUGCAAGUCGAACGGCAGCACAGUAAGAGCUUGCUCUUACGGGUGGCGAGUGGCGGACGGGUGAGGAAUACAUCGGAAUCUACUUUUUCGUGGGGGAUAACGUAGGGAAACUUACGCUAAUACCGCAUACGACCUACGUGUGAAAGCAGGGGAUCUUCGGACCUUGCGCGAUUGAAUGAGCCGAUGUCGGAUUAGCUAGUUGGCGGGGUAAAGGCCCACCAAGGCGACGAUCCGUAGCUGGUCUGAGAGGAUGAUCAGCCACACUGGAACUGAGACACGGUCCAGACUCCUACGGGAGGCAGCAGUGGGGAAUAUUGGAAAAUGGGCGCAAGCCUGAUCCAGCCAUACCGCGUGGGUGAAGGAGGCCUUCGGGCUGUAAAGCCCUUUUGUUGGGAAAGAAAAGCAGCAGGUUAAUACCACGCUGUUCUGACGGUACCCAAAGAAUAAGCACCGGCUAACUUCGUG